Molecule: long non-coding RNA, 2282 nt
Organism: Dermacentor albipictus
Lineage: Eukaryota; Metazoa; Arthropoda; Arachnida; Ixodida; Ixodidae
Source: RefSeq, a predicted model, not a curated record
GGAAUCACGGAGGCCACAGCAGCCGCACUAUUAUACAGACGGCGCUGGCGGCGCCGGUAUUUUCGUAUUCAACGCGACAGGUAGAAUACGAAGCUACGGCGUGUUGUUAUUGCUCCGUCUUCAACGGUUGUCGUGCGAGCUGCGUCGAUGUGUUUGUUUGACCGUGUGUUAUUAGGUUUGCUGUAAUGAAAUGAGACGUAGUUCGCGAGCACGAAAGUGCCAGAAGAUGGCUUGAGUCUCGCUGUAAGCACGCCGUAUGCGUGGCGCGCCAGCUAAAUGUGGACCAACGAUUUUCAUGCCAUGGAGUGCGUUCCCUUUGUCUCCGCUUGUGUUCGUGGAAAGUUUGGUGGACGGCGCAGAGAAGUAAUGCGUAUUAUUAGCGCGCCUCAGCUCGUCCACUACCCAGUGGCUUGUUUGCUGCAAGUAACAUCGCAGACGCAUCACUGGAAACUUGGAGAGUGCCUUUCGACCUCGUCGUACUGUUGAAACGUGGCGAGGCCGUGACCCACAACAUUAACUACAAGAUCGAGGAGCCUCAAGAAAUGCCGACCCUGUGGAUAUAUGGCUGCAGCAGCAUGGCGUGUGAUCUGGAUCGUCAUGACAGGCUCCACCGUCGCCGUUACUAGACGGACCAAAUGAGGCCAAAAACUAGCCUUUCCUCGCUCCAUUCCUGGGAAGUGAAAUAGCAGGUGGUCAUGUAAGAAUGAACUUGCAACCAUGUGGGCAGUAGCCAAAGCUCCCUACAGUUCAUGCUGGUGGUGGAAUGAUAAGACAAACCGCAAUAUUUAUUUGUUUACUUAUUCACUUAAUAUUUAUUUAUUCAUAUCUCAUGAAUACUGUGCAGUUUUUUUCGCAAGGAGUCAGGUAAAAUUAAGAAAUAUUGUUGCAUCAAAGUAAACGUUAUUUGAAAAAGCAUAAUUCACAUAGCACGAAUUCAUAGAAACUGUAAAUUUUGAAGAAACAGAGCAGUAAGGUUAACAAAUCUUAUAUAACAAAAAAUGAGAUCACAUUUCUGUUGGACCUAAUACCAUAAUUUAAUCUGUCAAAUUAGAGAUACCAUAUGCUGCUCUAAUAUACAAUCACUAAUUUAUGAGUAGAUGCGCGAAACUCUCAAACAUUGCAACAAUUUCAUGCUAGCUGUAAAUUCAUAUAUACAGUUUGUUGACUUUAGACAUAGCAGAUGGAGUCUGCAGAACUAUGAUAUCUCUUUCUGGCACAGAGACGGGCAUUAGUAAGCUUCGUGGUGUUAUUUUUCUUAAACCUGCCAAAUAGUCCUUCCUGCAACAGGUAGAAUUCUCAAAUGCCGCAAACUUAAUUCAAAUUAGUGCUGUGGUUGUCUCAAAAGUAUUUCUGUAUUUUGGAUGUAUUUGAGUAGGAAAAUUUACAGAAUUAACGAACUUGUGCUAGCUCUUUUUUUUAUUUACAGUUGUAAACUAAGUCCUUUUCCUUCAAGUUUUGCUAUUUUCAGCAAAUUUUAAUAAAAAUUGAUGGUGUUAAUGUAAAAACUAUAAUUUAAACAUUUUUAAAUGUAUCAAACCUCAUCAAAUUUGGUUGCAUAGUUGCCGAGAAAAACGAUUUUACUGUUCAUGUGCAUUACAUAGGAGCUCCUGAGCUAGAUCUCUUUUUUAGUCAUUGCGUGUGUCGGUCUGGUUUGUAUUUCUCACCCUAAUUAGAAUAUUGGCUCUGAUCUCAAAAUUGUUUCCCUUACAACGAAAUACAAGCUUUUAAACUUUUUACGAUAUAUGCUGUACUGCUCUAUGAUAACCCCUGUUUGCCACAUUUUUGCAGGGCCUACCAGUGCUAAUUUUACACAUAAACAUAGACUAAAAUGCUGUGUGGUUUCGGUAUAUGGUGUACUUAUCUGUGAAAGCCAUUAUUUGCCACAUUUUUGCAGCGACUGCCAGUGUUAUUUUUGCUCAGACUAAAAUGCUGUGUCGUUUCGUCAGGCUGACACAACAUUGCAGUGCACAUUCAUAUCAGUCUAUUUUCAGGCUUUAGUAUCCAAACAUUUAAUGUGCACUGCUGGAACAGGCACUUCUUUUGCAGUUUUAAUGGUAUGGUUUCUUGUCCUAGUCAAGCCUGUUAUUGCGAGGUGUCAACUGUAAUCAAGUCUGCCACUGAUUCUUUUACCUCAUGUUUCGUGUGUUUGCACCACCAGCUUGACCUGAGAAGCAUGUUGGCAGCUACAGUUUGUGUGUUGCAAGUUCUAGUCUGAAGUGUGUAUGUCACAUAUAUGAAGCAUGUAUCUAGUCUGAAGUGCAAUAAACAUUUCAAACUGAAUA